RNAcentral lists this long non-coding RNA (4583 nucleotides) under Sus scrofa (pig). RNAcentral's name for it is "lncRNA (ENSSSCG00015035447.1)". Lineage: Eukaryota; Metazoa; Chordata; Mammalia; Artiodactyla; Suidae. The record is from RNAcentral.
UUUUUUUUUUAAGGUUUCCUUUGCUAUGCAAAAGCUUGUCAAUUUGAUUAGGUCCCAUUGGUUUAUUUUUGCUUUUAUUUUUGUUGCUUUGGGAGACUGACCUGAGGAGACAUUUAUAAGGUUGAUAUCAGAGAGUAUUUUUGCCUGUGUUCUCUUCUAGGAGCUUGAAGGUGUCUUGUCUUACAUUUAAGGCUUUAAGCCCUUUUGAGUUUAUUUUUGUGCAUGGUGUGAGAGUGUGUUCCAGUUUCAUUGAUUUACAUGCAGCUGUCCAGGUUUCCCAGCACCACUUGCUAAAAAGACUGUCUUUUUCCUAUUAUAUAUUCUUGCCUCCUUUGUUGAAGAUUAAUUGACCAUAGGUAUCUGGGCUUUAUAUUACAAUUUAUUUUGGUUGAUUAUGAAACUUUCUUUUUAAGAUUGAGACAUUUAUUUUCUAGUGUAUUUUAAAGCUUUAUUUUAUUUUUUGUAGCCAUUAUCUGACCUAGUAUUCUAGUUGUGCUGUUUGGGCCUUGAUGGUUAGUAGUGGAUUUAAAAAAUUUUAUUAAUCUGGUUGUUAUCUUAUGCAUUAAAAUUUGCUGUACCCUCAGUAAAAUGAUUAAAUAUGACUGAAAUGUACAGGAUUACUUUACUGAAAACAGCUGUGUGCCCGAUCAUCUCACAAGGCAUUUAAGAAUAUUCGUCACUCUUUUCAGUUGAAAAUGUAGGCAAAAAUAGUUCAAACUGAAUCUUUUUACUUAUUAUACUUAGUAGUUCUGUUUCUUUUCCUUCUUUUUCCAAUUUUUAAAGGAAAAUCUGCAGACCCUUGGAACAGAAAUAGAACGUCUUGUUAAACACCAGCAUGAACUGGAGCAGAGGACAAAGAAGAACUGACACAAAGCUCUUGUUCAGAAAACAGACGAAAGCCACACAAGGAGCAGGUGCCACUGCCUAGUAUCAUUGGAAGCUUUUCCCUGCUUUGUGUAUUAACCAGUAAAAAAUCUGUUUUGCUUCCUCUGUAUAAAAAAGUACCUUUUACAAUAUAAAUGCAUUGCUGUGUAUACUGUAAAAGUGUAAGCUUUGACGAAACUUGUUUUUGUGUGGUGACAGCCUGUUUUUAAGUCAGAACAACUUAAUUUGCUAAUAAUCAUAUGAAGUGCUGAACCUUACUCCAAGGGCUUUUGAAAACCCCUUCUCCAUAUUUCUUCCCUUUAAAAUAUAUAAUGUCAAAAAUGAUUUUGCUUUCUAAAAUUAUGCAUGAAAGGACAGGUGUUGAUCAUUCAGUAAUAUGCUAUUUCUCCAACACAAAACUAAGAAAGUGAUAAAAACUUUUGUUUUGACAUUCUGACAUGACACUUGCUUGUGUGUUAGGGAUCCCAAUGAAUUCUUAAAUCUUUUGGUUUUGAUGGAAGCUAAUAGGAAAGCUAGCUUUCGGUAAAUAGCAAUGAUCAGGUGUUGUAUGCCUCUGUCAGGUUUCCUUAUUUGUGCUAGUUACUUUUUUUUUCAGAUUCUGAUUGAGUUAAUAGUUGAGUUUUUAAACAUCUUCAGUUGUGUAAAAUAUGAUUUUAAAUAAUCUCAUUUAGAAAAUUUCUCUGGACUUGAGUUAUAUUUUAAAAUGUGAAAUGGAUUAGUCAUUAUACAGAGAGAUUAAUAAUGAAUUCUUUGAAACUGAAAGACAUUAGUUUUACUAAUAUCAAGUAUAUAAAGAUCAAUUUAAUGCAUUUAUGAAGAACCAGUUCCCAAGAGAAUCCAGCAUAUGGCACUGUUAACCAUUUCAUCUGUGCACCACCGUUCAUUACUGUUGGUAUAAUUAUGUGUUAUAGUGGAGUGAUCUUACAGUUCCUAUAUGUAAUGUGUUUCAGUAUAUUUAUUUAAAACACGAAAUAAUUAAAUCUCUGUAACCAAAGGAAUUCCAGAGCCAAAUUUAUGUAUACUGUUAGAUUUUUACUAUAUUUAUUUAAGAUGUGCACUUAAAUUUGCCAGUCAUAAUAUCAGUAUUUCUAUAUCAUUGAAUUUUUUUCUCAUCUCUUAAAAUUUCUCACCUAUUACAAUUUGUGUGUGGUUUUUCACAUUUCUGUAUAUUCAGAUCAUUUCUAUACCUUCUAUAGAUACCUUGGCACUAUGCAGAUGUUGCAGCAAGCCUCAUUAUUGUUUUGGAUUUUUGCAUCCUUCUUUGUCCCCUUAGGAGAAGUGAGCUUUGGGAUGAUGGAUUAAAACCCUUUAAAGAAUUGUAUGGUUCUAAAAGUUGGGCUGGGUUUAUAGUGGCAAUGCCCCUGUAACGUGUUUUAACAUUUUUUAAAAUAUCAAUGUUGUUUUAAAAGAUCAUUUACUAAGGAUUAGAUGAUUCAAUGUAACAUCUUAUUUUUCUGUAUACUGAGUGAUAUGUUGUCAUCCCAGGCCAAAAUCUUUUCACUUCAAAAUGGAAAUAUAAGUUCAAAAACAUACUUAAAAUAGCUGUAAAAAGUUUUAGUCUUACCGUAAUGUAUCUUGUUAUCAGUAAUAAUGUAUCAAAAUGAAAUACGGUAAGUUCAAUCACAUCUGAAAUAUUUUCCCAGUUGUUUUUGACAAUACUGUUGAUACUUCCAGAGAUUAGAGUAGCCAACAUAACUAAAUUUUUACAGCUUCUUAUGUGAUUUAGAUUCAUACACUACAAUAUUUGUUUUUUCCUCCAAGACACAAAAUGUAUUGAUGGAGAUCAAAUAGUGGUCAGAUCCAUAGUGUUCUGUGUGUAUACACUUAAAAAAAAAACUAUGUGCACACACACGUUUUUCAUAUAUGUAUAUUAUAUAUGAAAAUGAAACAUUUCAAUAUUAACAUCUGUGCCAGCAUUCAUUUAGAGAAGUUUACUGGUAAAACAAUUUUAGAAGAAAGCUGUUAUAAACUAUCUUUGAUUUAUUGUUACCCCCCCCAUAAACGUAAGGAACUAUAGAAAACUUGAAGAAAAUGCUUUAUUUUCCUAUUGUGCUUUAGUUUCUACUAUAUCCUUUUGUACAUAGAUCAGGACUAAGCAAAGUGUGUACAAAAAUAUGAAUUUAUCAGAUCCCUAAACUGACUCACAAGCAGAUUCUGAUAUAAGCUUUUAGAGUGCCCAUUACUAUAUUGAAUAUAUGGAGAGAAAAAUGGGGUGUCUAGAAAAGGAAAAUGGUCUGGCUAAACUUGAGGUCUGGGGGAAAUUUUGUUUUACGUGUUCAUUAUUAAUUGAACACCUCAAAGGCUCUUUUGGUUAGUCAGCACUAUUUUGGUUUCUUUGAGCAGGAAAUCUUUUUUUCUGUGUGUAUAUAUUUGUGUGUACACCUAACUAGAUUUUAAUUUCAAAGUGAAUACUUACUGUGACUCUUUUUCCCACACCACUUCAAACUUUAGCCUAAGUUUUAAGGGUUGAAAAUGGUGGGCUUGGGCAGAAUGAAUUUAAACUUCAGUGUUUUAUUUUUAAACUUACUCUUCAUAACCAUUUAAAGCAAUUUAUCUUGAAAUUAAAUUUUAUCAGGCUACCAACAUCUUACUUACUCAUGUAAUGAACACAUUUUUUUUGAAAACCUGUAAUUGCCAGGUACCACACAAGUUAGGUAUCAUCAUUAUACUGUGGACAGACCAGACAGGGCAGUUCCUGUCCUCAUGGAGCUUAUGGUCUAGUGAAAACAGCCGAGAGGAAGUGGAAGCAGAGGCUCUUUAAGCCUCUGCAGCUCACUGCCAGACCCUGUCAGAAGAAAGUUCACUCGUGGAAGCAGUUCACCCAGAAGUCUUACUCUGGCCUAAAGCUUUGGGAAAUGAAUCCUUGCUGAGGUAGGCUGAGAGCAGAUUGCCAUUUUCAUGCUGGUUCUUUACAGUUCCUAACUUUUUUUCACAGUUUGAUGUUUGUUUUUUAAGAAGAAGGAAAAAAUCCAAAGACCGUAAAAUGGCAUUCGAUUUUUGCCAUUUUAGUAAAUUAUUAUUGUCUACUUGAUGCUCCUAUAAGAUGAAUCUAAUCAACUUGUCAUGUAUAUUUCCAAAUUUUGUUUUGUAGUAUAUUAUUUUCUAAAGAUUUUUACCUGGAAUUUUAGACCAAGAUUUACCAGUAGAAGGAAAAAAGCAUUAGAAACCAUUAAUAUUGUAAAUGUUAUAUAUGCUACCUUGGUGAAAAUAUUUUUAUCAAUCAUGUUAUUCAGUAUUGUUAAUUUGCCUUAUAAAUGUUAGUUCUAGUAGUUUAUCUUCCAAUACCUUUUUAAAACAAUUCUUUUUGGACACUGAGAUUGUUCAUUUUUAACACCAGUAGGUGGCACUAGAAAUGUGAAGGUUUUCAAGGCUGAACAGGAGAAGAUAAUCAAAAAAAGAAUCAAAACAGAAUUUUCAGUAAAAUAAAUGAGAAAUAUAAUUGUAUAUUAAAGAUGUAUUUUUUCUUCUGGAAUGAAGUUCUUUUUUAAAAUGCAUAUGGCUUUCCAUUUUGACUAUAUGAAACUUGUUAUCUUCCAAAGUUCAUAUAUAUAUGUGUGUGUGUGUGUAUGCACUGUACAGAUAAUCUUUAGUUUGAUUACACUGUUCAUUUUGUAAAUAUGUUUCUGUAUAAAAUGAAGCUUUUUGAGAUAAUUUUAUGUAUAUAUUGUACUUAUUAAAUAGGUAAUGCCUGUUUACCA